UUUUUACUUUCUGUCUCUCUAUCUUCCUAUCUCUAUCUUUCUCUUCUUUUGCGGUCAGCGAAAAUUCCGUGGUUCUGUAGAAUGUUGAUUAGUAAUUUGUAAUAUUUUGUGUAAGGUGAAUGGGUUUUAAUUGUAGUUUAUGGCGAAAUGUGUAGAGAUGAAUUAAAUGAGAUGAGUUAAACGAGUUUGUGGUGAAAUGUAUAGAAAUGAAUUAAUUGCAAGAAUGUGUAAUUUGGAGAGAAGUUUUUAUAGUUCCAUUCCUAUAGUGUCAAUGCUUUCUUGUUCAGUAACUGAUAGUGUAUACCAGCCACACUUUUUUCAAUCAACUUGAAAAACUAAAGAAGUUCUGUAUCUUUGACUUCCUACUUCACUUUUUCCUAUUGUUUCCUUCUUAUUUAAUAACUCUUACAAUAAUAAAAAUAAAUUAAUACAAUUUACUUUACAAAAAAUACAAUAAAAAUCAAAAAUAAAAAUGAAAAAACGUUUUAAGUAGAAAAAAUAGAUUUCAAUGAAAAACGACGAAACUUCGAUUAGCAACAAUGGAAAUCAAGGUAAAAUCUUCAACGGAACUAUGGAGAUCUCGCUGGCCGCGCUACAAGUUCAUGUGUUCAUUCAUUUUUCACUGUUCACACCGUCGCUCAUGCCUUGCGUGAAAUUUUCACCCCUUUUUCAGCCACCACCCACCCCUUCUUUCUUCUCUCUUUCCGUUGAUCUCUUUAGUUCUCCAUUCUUCCGUUGAUUUGAAUCACCCUUUUUGCUUGGCUGUGCACAUCGAUUGACAAGUUUGCAAAAAUAAAAAAAGAAAGGAAUCAAUCGAAACAAAAAAAUCUCCCUCGAUCGAGAUACAUCUAUGAUCAUUCAUUCGUUACCUACAUUUUGCGAUCUAUAACCACCAGCAUCGGAAUCUCAUUGUUUCUCAACCCACUUGCACAUUUCCCGCAUCGUGUUUUGCGUAGACACUUAGGCUUCGCGUGUGCCGAAGCUCUCUUUUUUUUCUAUCUCUAUCUCUCUUUUUCUCUUUCUCGCCGCGUUACUCACGGGGGAAAAUGCUUUAUGAAACGGGAGAGGGGGGAUGAAACUCAUAUUGCAUUUUCCAUUGAAAAAAAGAACAAAAAAAAGAAAAAAAACAGGUGGUCCUUCCGAUGUGUUGAAACUAACGGGGGAGGGUCUAUUAUGUAUACCCGUUAUACGAGGGGACUAGUUUCCAUCUAUUCACCUUCACAAACUUCCAUCUAAUGUGCACAGCUCUGACAACUAUGUUUAAUGUGUAUAUUAAUAUAAAUAUAUAUAUAUAUAUUUAUUUAAAAAAAAAUAUAUACAUAUAUAUCACUGUAGUGUUUCACCCUGACACUCACCCACACACAAUUUUAGACCUGCUUUUAGUGGCGUUUGUACAUUGUGCUAUAUUCCUUUCGAUUCGAUAUUAUAUUAUACUUCUAUGUAUAUUCAUAUUACAUAGGCGGUUCAUAAUAUAUAUUUAUAUGAUAAUAUUUCUUUGUUUGUGUAUAGUAUAUAUUGUAUACAGGGUGUUGACUAAAGUUGCGAUUUAAGGUUAGAGGCAUACAGUGCUCAUCUAGACGACGAAAAUGUCUUAGUAAACGUGAGUUUCAAACUCGUUGCUUUCGGAGACAAAUGUCUUAAUAAAUAUCUUUGUCGAUGAAACAUAACCUCCGAAGUAGAUAUUCAAUAUGGCCGCUCAUACUGUUCGCCACGUUUACGCAUCGAUGCAUGCACGCGUUGAAAGAUCCAUUAGUAUAAUCAUUACAUUCAAAAAGAUUAUUACAACCUUCUUCGAUUAUUAUUAUUUCGAUUCUAAUAAACAUCUACUUCCUAGCUCUCAAACUGAACAAAAUGAAAUGAAGUAAACAUAUGGAAAACACGAUUUAACCAUCAAGAAUUCUUUACCAAAACUUUAUCGCUCGUUUUGAGGGGUGCCGUAAUCUUCCAAAAUCGAAACUCAACUUUUACCCGACACCCCGUGUACACACAUGAAUCUUUCUCUCCGUUAACGUGCCGUAAUCGUGUAUUCCCGACGCUUCCUUAGCUGCCGAGCUACCGCUGGCUCGCUAACGACAAAUUUUCUUUUCCUUUUUUUUCUCAAAGCAAGCACCAGAGGAAAAUGGCGGUAGCCAAGCCGUGUACUUACACUUGUUGAGUUACAGCAUCCGUUCUUUUUUCUCCACCGUUGGCUAGAGCUUUAUAUCCUCGCACGUGACAAAGAGAGAAUAUAAACGAGCGCCUGAUAUGAGGAAAAAAAAAUGAAAGAAAAUAUAUAGAAAGUAGGAAAGAAAAAAAUAUAUAUAUAUGUACAAAUAUCUAGCAUAUAUACAGCAUACAGGAUAACACCGGGAGAAACGAAAAUACACACGGCGGUGUUGUAUGAGUGUCGUACGCAUUCUGUCUGUUUGCUGUCUGUGACGCUAAAAAAGAAACGUGUGUAAGGCUCGGCAGUAUCGCGCGAAGUUUAGUUGGACCUCUCUUUUAGGGAUACCACCUAGGCAUAUAUAUAUAUAUACAUAUACAUAUAUACAUAUACAUAUAGGUAUAUAUAUAUAUACCUACAUAGUUUAGCCUUGAUCGUGUCUAGUGUCUGUCGAUGUGUGCCCGACAAAUUGUUGUCGAUUUCCAUUUGAAAUCGGGGGCGAGCCAGCGUGAUUCACGUUAGGGUAUAUGUGUGUGGGCAGUCUGCAGAAACAGGUCAGCGUUAUGAGUAUGAACUUGAGUGCCAAGCUGGACGAGCUGCAGCGGGGUGACCGCCAGCUGGAGACGACCGUCGCCCUAUGCGAGAUUCGCACACAGCUGCAGGAGCUCACCAAGAGCGUAGAGUCUUGUCAGAGCGAGGUCAGCGAGGUCAAACGGGACAUGGUCGCGAUCAAGCACGAACUCGAUACAGUACAGCAGGUGAAAGAGGAGAUAGAAGAGUUACGAGAAUAUGUGGAUCGACUAGAAGAACACUCCCAUCGGCGGAAACUUAGACUUUUACAACAGGGACUGACACUUUUCCUGUCGUAUGCAAUAUUGGCUGCAGUUUUAGGAAUGUUGCAGUUCGGAUACAACACUGGAGUCAUUAAUGCGCCGGAAGUGAACAUAGAGAAUUUCAUGAAAGACGUGUACAAGGACCGAUACGGGGAGGACAUCUCCGACGACUCCGUGAAGAAACUGUACUCGGUGGCCGUAAGCAUAUUCGCGAUCGGUGGUAUGCUAGGUGGUUUUAGCGGUGGAAUAAUUGCCAACAGAUUUGGCAGAAAGGGGGGCUUACUGCUAAACAACGUGCUGGGCAUCGUGGGGGCGUGCCUGAUGGGUUGUACAAAGAUUGCUCACUCGUACGAAAUGUUGUUCUUUGGACGGUUCAUCAUCGGUGUCAAUUGUGGCUUGAACACCUCGUUGGUUCCCAUGUACAUAUCGGAGAUAGCACCACUGAACCUGAGAGGCGGCCUAGGCACGGUGAACCAGCUCGCUGUUACGGUGGGUCUCCUGGUCUCCCAGGUGCUGGGCAUCGAGCAAAUCCUUGGGACGAAUGAGGGUUGGCCGGUACUCUUAGGGCUAGCUAUCUGCCCGGCGAUACUACAGUUGUUGCUGCUUCCAGUUUGCCCUGAAUCACCAAGAUAUUUGCUCAUUACCAAACAGUGGGAGGAGGAGGCUCGCAAAGCAUUGAGAAGGUUGAGAGCGAGCAACGAAGUGGAAGAAGACAUCGAGGAAAUGAGAGCCGAGGAACGGGCUCAACAAGCCGAGUCUAGAAUAUCGAUGACAGAGCUCAUAUGUAGUCCGACGCUAAGAGCACCCCUCGUUAUCGGCGUGGUUAUGCAACUUUCCCAACAGCUUUCAGGCAUUAACGCUGUGUUUUACUAUUCGACAAAUUUGUUCACCAGUUCUGGCCUGACAGAGGAGAGUGCCAAGUUUGCAACCAUUGGCAUAGGUGCCAUUAUGGUUUGUAUGACGUUAGUAUCCAUCCCGCUUAUGGAUAGAACAGGAAGGCGUACACUUCACUUAUACGGUCUUGGUGGCAUGUUUAUCUUUUCAAUAUUCAUCACAAUUUCUUUUCUCAUAAAGGAGUUUUUCGGUUAUGUGCAGGAGAUGAUUGACUGGAUGUCAUAUCUGUCGGUCGUGUCGACGCUCAGUUUCGUCGUGUUCUUCGCGGUCGGGCCCGGCUCCAUCCCCUGGAUGAUCACCGCCGAGCUGUUCUCGCAGGGUCCCAGACCAGCCGCCAUGUCUAUCGCGGUACUCGUCAAUUGGAUGGCUAAUUUCUUGGUUGGCAUUGGUUUCCCGAGUAUGAAGACUAGCCUUGAAAACUACACGUUCCUACCGUUCAGUGCAUUCCUAGCCAUCUUCUGGAUCUUCACGUACAAGAAGGUUCCCGAGACCAAGAAUAAAACAUUCGAAGAAAUUCUAGCGUUAUUCAGGCACGGUAACGACAGGAGCAGCUUGCGGGACAGCAGACUUUAUGGGUCAAUUAGGAUAAAAUAAAAAAAAUGGAUAUGUAACUUACGUUGACGAUGAGUUGUUGAUAUGCCGCGAUACUGUUUUCUCAUGGUUCUACGACGUCGGUGCAUGUUGAAUCGAUGCCCUCGACGAAGAUCUGGAAUUUAAUGAGAGAAGGAAAGAUUCAAUAGACAUGUAUGAAGAAGCGGAAACUUGGACAAGUCGCGUGAUGUUUUGCAGGAGCAUGCUAAACUGUGUGAAUGCAUUAGAGGGACACAUACCGCCAGCAGAGAGUGCAGCCCUGAUGGUGGCCGAGGAGAAGCCACAUCCUGAUUCAUUAUGAUUCAAAAGUGCAGAGGAAUCUAAGCGCUGAUUCUAUGAAAAAUCAAAAUUACAUUGAUGCUUCGCUACUACAAGACAUACAAGUGGUCCUAGCAGAGAACAAUAUCACACUACCCAUAUUCUCGUGUUGACAAUAGCAAAUAUUAGGAGAGUGCAAUUGAACAUAAUCACAUUAUAAAUGACAAGGAGCCACUUAACCAUGAUACUAUUGGUUCAUUAAAGUGUACUAUAACUAAGACAUUAGAAAUCUAAAGUUUAUGUUAUACAUUGAUAUUCCUCUAAGUGUUCAUUAUCUGAUUAUUUGUUUCUAUCAUUUGGUUUCUGACUUCCUCGUUUGCCUUUCAUUGUUCAAUGGUAAGGAAUUCAGUAGAAGUUUCCUUCUAUCUUAUAAUUUGAAAACAAACUACUUCUCAAAUUCACUUUUAAUAGAAUUUAUCAUUAUCUAACACUUUUUUUGUAGGAAGAAGUUGGAACUGUAAUAUCAUUAAUGAGACACAUUAAUUAUUCUCAAACUUGUUUUCACCUUAAAUAACUGUCUGCAUUUCAUGCAUUGGUCAUAGCUUUAUUGUGGCUUUCCACAACUCACAGUGCUUCAGCAAAACACUCACACCACACAGUCGAAUAAAAGUUGAAUAUAGUUGAAGCAUUUUUUUGUUUCCAUAUAGAGCUUAUAUUUCUGACAACAUCAUAAGAUAUGAAAAGAAACAUGAUAGUAAUUGUAAUUAAAAAAUUUUAUCAUAAAUAGUAAUAGUUACAGAAUAAUUUUAUUAUGUUUUUUUUACUGUAAUUUAAGAAACUUUCAGUAUUAUAAGCUCUAUGGUAUAUAAUGUAUAUUAUAUCUCUUCUAUCAUCUGUGUGAAGUAUGAUAAUCUGUCAUCCUGUUAUAUAUCUAACUAGUCAAUUUUAAGUAUUUUUAUAAACGAGAUUGGUAGACACAUUGGCUUUACUUCUAUUCUAAGAACGUAUACUAUGUUCUAUUAACACUGGCCUUUGUAGUAGUGUACGUGGAGGUAGGCCAUUUUGGAUUUCACAUAUAAUGCAAAUACGGUCUCCACAGAUCGAUUUGUAAGUGUAAAAACAUGAAAAAAAGUAAGGUGUUAUAUGAGUAUCAAAUUUAACAAGAUUUCAACACAAAUAAUAUCACAUUAUUAUUAUUUUUUAUAUAAAACUAUAAAACCGACUUCAAUACUACCACAGUUGGAGCAUGAAUGGUAUAAUGGGCAUGUGCGCAUGAAUGUAUCUUAUUUUAUUUAGAUUAAAGGAAAAUCUAAAUAGUAUUAAUCAAUCUCUUGCAUUUUUAUUUUAAACAUUUUCUGGUCUAUAAGCUUAUAUUCCUUGUAACAUUAAACACAAGAAUAUACAACCAGGGACAAAAAUUUCUCAGUUCGUCAAUCUAUCUCAAAUAAAUAAUAAAUGUUCUUACAAUAGUAAAAUGUUUUACAUAAAUAAAACUAUUUUUAUGAAUACAAUACUAUUUAACAGGGUCAUUUCGUUUAUCUACUAAACUCACAACAAUAUUUAUAAGCACACAUUUGUAUGUAAAUAUCAAAGAAUUAUUAUAAUUUUCGUAUUUUCAGGUAUUUCUUUAAAAACUUUUUACAAUUUAAAGAUUAAACUGCAAGAAGCACUAAUCACGGACAAUAAAAUUAUUUUCUACUAAUUCUUUAAUAAUAAAUUAUAUUUGUAUUAUGUUUUCAGGACAAUGGUGGCAAAUUAUAUUCAUUGCAUUUGCUUCUAAGAGUACAAUGAGAAGAUUUUCUAUAGUCACAUUCGUAAACUCAAUGACAUCUAUGAUAUUAAAGUCAACGCACAGUGAAAUAUUCAGGAGGAAGAUAAUAAUUAUAAUACAAUAAAUUCAAUAACACUCACAGGCAUAAAAGUAUAAACUUUAUACACAGAUAAAAUUUCUAAAUGUUUAUUAAGAGGUCAAAGAAAAACGUAUACUUCAUAUUUCUAAACAAAAGAAAUGGAAAAAAACAUUUGUAACGUUUUUAUAUUUUAAUUUCAGUACAACGAUCAUUUCAUCUUGAUUUUUAUACAACCUACGAUUACUACCAACUGAUUAAAGGAGAGUAAUUAACACCUGAACAUAUCAGUACUUCGAGGAAUAUAUACGCUAGUAAAGCAACAUCCGAUACUGUCUGUAAACAAUUUCUUUCUACGAGAAUUGUAGAGGCUUGCUGUAUGUCGUCUUUUAAAUUGAAACUGAUCUGGUAGAUGAAUGUGAAAGUAGUGUAACCGAAUCGCGAGUGCUUGCGGAAAAUGUACAUCUGAUUAAUCCGGAUGAACAGUUGUGUUUGCAGCUGGAUCAGAGCGAUCUUCCGGCGCACCCGCUCAACCGGAGAGACCACCGCCCCCGCUUCCCCCGCCACGCUUUCCGAACAGCGGUGUCUGACAAUGGGAAACAGCUCUUAAUAUCGAUAACUUAGUGAUCAUGAAUACGUCGAUCCCACUGCCGCUACUGUUCACCAGUAACAGCCUCACUUUGGAGAACCAACUGUUCGAGAUCAUCACGGAGAGCGGAAAGGCUUGCGCGGCCUUCUUGCGGCAAGGUUUCCGUCGAGCGAUGAACGCUACCAUCAUCGGCUGGAAUGUCACGGAGCAUUAUGAGAGUAACGUAUCGUGCAGUUGUGCUUGAAACGAGAAGACAAAGAAGUCAACAGAAGACCACCCAUUGAAUGUAUUUAAACGCUGAUUCGAUGAUGAACAUUUCGCACGGCUAGACUCGGUCGGUAACAAAAUACGCUCGCACACGAGUUAUUUUCGAUGUAUGAAUAUUCGAUCCUAUGAUCCGAAUGUUCUUCGUAUUACGAAUGUUGAAAGUAACUCUUUGGAUGGAUUAAGUGAAAAUAACCAUAGGGAAUGGUUCUCAUGGUCCGUGAGAAACUUUUUAGUGUAAUUGGGAAAUUUUUCGAUACGAUUAUGGCACAUUGUGCGAGCACGUCUACAUUAAACGAAGGAAGAAGUUAGAUCGCGGGACACCGGAAGUCCUCGAAGGGAUAACAUAACGAAAUGUUUGCGAAAGUGAUUGUGCCUAGACAUUAACGUUUUGAACGGAACCCGUAAGGAGUUAGACCAUGAUCACCAUGAGAUAAAAAUUGAACUUCGUGCGACAUCGAAGGAUAUAGAACAUGUAAUUGCUAGAUGCGACGAAUCGUUUACGAAACCCCAGAGAAAGAAAUGGAGAGGUGUACAUCUAUAUUAUACUUCACUUUUAUAUCGUUAAUUUCAUAGGAUUUAUUGCGGUUAUAUGAGAUUUUUGUAUCACUGUCGUCUUUAUAACUGAUUGCACUGUACUAAUGAUUAUCUGUUGAUUCGUUGAUUGAGAAGUUGAAAUGAAUUUUACGGCUGAAGUCUGUCAUACAAUUAACCUUAAACGUUGAGAAAUCUGGCGUCGACCAAAUUUUACUCAGACUAGCUUUUCGAUAACGGAAUUACUAGUGACGUUAAUCGCGUUAAUUAACGUCCUAUUAACACGGUGCCUCUUAAUAGCAACAUUCGCAAAUCGAUCAAAUCAUUCGAUCUUGUAACGGUAAUUACGAGGAUAUUUGUAGUACAAAUGAGCGGGAAGUCAACUGUUGCUAUGAAAUUCAAAUGGAGUGCAUACGCGAAAGAACCAUCUGUCGCUAGUUUCAAAAUAACAUGUUACUUCAACGGAUUCCAUUUUCCAAAUUUUGUACGAAUAUUUGACGACUUAAAAUUAUAAAUUAACAUUCGGAUAAAUGAAAAGACUAACUGCAGGUUGAGUUUCGUUUGAUAAAUUUUAAGGAUUAGUUUUACUAUUAUACACCUGUUCGAUUGAACAACCAGAUUCGAUAGUACCCUGCACAUUCGGAGGCAUGCCUUUUCUUACUACAUUAUGUCGUUAACGUUUUACACCAAACUGCACGUAAUUCGAUGUUACGCAAGCUAUUCGGGAAAAUUUCCCUUAUAUGUUUGUAUAUAUAUGUAUAUACUGUAUACUUCUAUCAUACUUACCCACGUCGUUGCAUAAGCAAAUGUAUGAUAAUCCUAUACUAUUCGAUAUAGUAUAUCCGAUUCCCUAUUAAGAUAGCAUUACAUGGGAACUGAUUGUGUCGUCCAUGCGAUGUUUACCUCUUUCGACACUAAAACCGUUUGUACUGACGGGCAUAACUCGACUGUGGCGGCCAUCGACCGGAAACACUACAUACUGUUCUGUAAUACAGAAUAUAAAAUUAUAAUUUUUAAUUAGACAAAAAUUAGCGCGUUAUUUAAAUUGGUUUUAAGCUAUCCGUUUGCCUGCACGUACUAUCAAUUGGAAGAGAAAUAAAUAUAUGUAUAUACAUAUACGAUAUACAAUUCAUAAUAAGAAAUGAACACUGCAAAUUUUUAGAUUGCUUAACAAACUUUUAAUUUCAUCCUUUUUUUCGGGGCGGAGUAGGAAAUAAAAUAACACCAGCCAAUGCUGACAGUUGAAACUUUCGCGUUAGCUUGUAUCGAUUAAAAUUAAACACUCCAAAAUCGGUUCGCUAUAUUAAGUAUGGCAACGUAAUCGCGAUACUAAUAUGUAGGAUAGAAAGAACAAGUAAAUGAAUAAACGGCAUGUGUGCUAAGACCACAUGUGCUAACUUAACGAAAACGAAGGAAAGGAACUCUUUAAUGAUAAGCUGUCUAAAUCAUACAGAAUCAGUGAGAAAGGCAAUAAAACGUUAUGGAACUGAAACUUAUGCUAAUGUAGAUUUUCUUGCAUUAUGGGUAUUAUCAGAAUUCUAGUCUAUCGAUUACUGAUACUUAGACUAGAUAUAUGAAUACAUACAUAGCUACUAGUUUAUAGUAGCACGAUGUAAACAGACUAAUGGUAAAGAAAAUCGCAAAUUUCGCUAAUAUCAUACACGUAUGUUAAACAGAGCGAACAUACGCGUCUCUCUCACUCGUAAUGGCUGUACAAUAAACGCGGACCGAGUACUGGUAGCAUAUCCAUUUUUUAAAUCAAUUGAAGUCUCGAAAACUUAACAUACACCCACACCAACACGUAUGUACUUACACACGAUACAUACGGUCGUAGUGCAAACGCUUCGACUCGUAUACUAUGAUAUGAAUCCGAUCAGUGAAAUAAAUGAUUUUAAUUCAAUAAAGACCUGGUACCGCGUUAGAAAAGAUAUUUUAAAAUACAUACAUAAAUAUAUAUAAAUAUAUUAUAUAUAUAUAAAUAUAUUAUAUAUAUAAAUAUAUUAUAUAUAUAUAAAUAUAUUAUAUAUAUAUAUAAAUAUAUAUAUAUCGUUUACUUUUCACAUUUACAGUUACGACGUAACGAAUAGAUAGACAUUAAUCGAGGUUCGAUACGCGAAUACGUUAUUCGUUGAAAUUAUCAAACCUAAACGUGAUUAUUCUGUUCUGGCUAUUAUCCUAUUGAGAAAAGGCAUGCUGUGAUACAUCUUCAUUGAAAAUCUCCGAGCAAACGACAACACGAUCUACACUUAGACGAAGAUAAGCUAUAAACGAUUUUUCUACCUUCGCCAGGAUUAAAAUUACAAUUAGCGCCGUUAGAUAAAUAUUCUAAUGAAAUUCAGUUAUAUCACAUAUGCGUAUAAAAUCAGCGAAACGACGAAAAAUGUUUCUCUUGUUUUCUGAAGUCUAAAAUAACCUAACGUGUAGGUGUUCGAAGUGCUUUCGAGAAACACUUUCUCCAUACCAACAGAAAAAAAAGACAGAUUUAAUUUUACUAUAAUUCAUUCUCACACGUAACGAUAUAUUUAGUGAACUCGUUUCUAAAACUGUAACAUUAUGCAUAUAUUAAUAUAUACAUAUAUAAUGGUAACUCUUAUGCGAGUACCUAUUCCGCACACUCACCACAACUUUGAUAAAGAAAAUCUGUAAUGAUUGCAUACAUAGAUGGAGUCAAUGAUAUGAUAUUAAAAUUCACCGAAUAUUGCAACGUUUAUAGAGCCUUAAAGUAAAAGAAAACGAAAAGAAAGAGAAUCAAUGAACAAAAAUUCGGAACAGUCCAGCAAAGUGAUUACAAUAACGAUUUGUAAAAUAAGUUCACUGCCACUCAAACGACUUGCGUUCUUUUGGGGAGCGCCGAUAUUCCAAAUGUGAAUGUGUACAGUUAUGUGAAAAGUACUUAUAUCGUAAUUAUAUUUACACAUAAUAUUAUUUAGAGUUAUGUGAAACUAAAUAGCAUGUAAUAAUAUUUAAGAAUGGUAUACAGACGUAGGGUACAGAUUAAAAAAAAAAGAAGGAAAAUCAUUGAUUGCAGGGCUAUUAUAUUCCAAAAGAAGAUAAGUUUAUGCCUGCUCAUUUGUAUAUUAUACGUAAAUCUUAGCAUGAAAAUAAGUGUUUCUCUGGUAAAAGAUGCUAACUUCUAAUUAUCCUCCCUAUACUUCUGUUGAUAGUAUUUAUUUUACUGACACAGUGUACUGCAUUUAAUUGUUUUCAACUUAAGUUUACUUUACAAUUAUAAUAAUUUAAAAGUAAUAUAUGAAAUAAAUUGAAGUAAUCUUUAACCAAGAAAUGUAUGUAUGAUAAUUUAUAUAUAUUUUCGUCAUAAUGGAAGAUAAUUUUUUACAAAUGUACUUGAGCAUUACAUAACUAUUUUACCCUUUUUAAAGGACUCAGAUUAAUUACAUUAUCUGGAGAAACAUUUGAUUAAUUUCUAACAUAUACAAUAUAAUUUUGAAUUUGAAUUUAAAAAAAGACCUAUAUGGACCUGUAACAUUGUAACAUGGUUUUAUUUGCAAUUGUACAUAUAUGUAGUAAUUGUUUAUAAUAUUUUAAUUACUUAUGAUUAAUAUAUUUAAGCUGAACAGAUAAAGUUAAGUGGGAAGAUCAUACAUGACAUCUUUUAAAUCUAUAAAUAAAAAUAUUUACAAAGUAGAAUGUAUAUGUUUUUAAUUGUAUAGUUACUUAUAGACAUAGUUUUUAUUAUUUAGUUUAUUUAUCAAAGGUACAUCACAUAAUAAAUAUACAAUUAAAUAUUCUUUAUUUAAAAAAAAUGUUAUGUUACAAACAUACUUUUGUGUAAUGGAUUACUAGUAUAAUUUAUUAUGGCUUACAUUCUUGAUGAUAAGGUUCUAAUGUUCGAAAAUCUCUCCAUGUUGGGGGUAACGCACUAUGUAAAUGUAAACCACAACGUUUACAUGGAUCACUAAAUAAAUUAUUUAAACUAUGGAACCAAGUCUGCAAAAGAAUUGCAUAUUAUCAGUUACUUAAAAUAAUGAGAGUGUAUAAAUCAUAACAUUUUUAGUUUAAUUACCAUAAAUGAUCGAACAGCUAAUUCAGGCAAGGCUGGCGAAUAAAAGUGUAACAUAGCAGC
Molecule: non-coding RNA, 12037 nt
Organism: Nomia melanderi (Alkali bee)
Lineage: Eukaryota; Metazoa; Arthropoda; Insecta; Hymenoptera; Halictidae
Source: RefSeq, a predicted model, not a curated record